This 299-nucleotide long non-coding RNA is filed under the name Elaeis guineensis (African oil palm). Its description in RNAcentral is "long non-coding RNA (EGUI_LNC076394)". The record is from RNAcentral. Lineage: Eukaryota; Viridiplantae; Streptophyta; Magnoliopsida; Arecales; Arecaceae.
AGUCAUGGAUGGAUCCCGGCUCCCAUGGGAGUUCGGACGGAGUCUUCCUUGUGGUUGGAGUCGUGGACGGAGCACGGCUCCCGUAGGAGUCCGGGCGGAGUCUUCCUUGCAGUUGGAUUCAUGGACGGAGCUCGGCUCCCGUAGGGGUCCAGGCGGAGCCUUCCUGCAAUUAAUAGUCAGGUGAGAAGUCCGACUCCCAUAGGAGUCCGGACGGAGCUUACCAGCAGUUGAAGUUGGCGACAGAGCCCGACUCCCGUAGGAGUCCGAACGGAGUCCUCCUUGCGGUUGAAGUCGUGGAC